This 281-nucleotide ribosomal RNA is filed under the name uncultured Staphylococcus sp. RNAcentral describes it as "partial 16S ribosomal RNA". It matches the Rfam family "Bacterial small subunit ribosomal RNA", at positions 81 to 355 of the family's 1533-position model. The record is from RNAcentral. Lineage: Bacteria; Bacillati; Bacillota; Bacilli; Caryophanales; Staphylococcaceae.
CUCCUUUGACGUUAGCGGCGGACGGGUGAGUAACACGUGGGUAACCUACCUAUAAGACUGGGAUAACUUCGGGAAACCGGAGCUAAUACCGGAUAAUAUUUCGAACCGCAUGGUUCGAUAGUGAAAGGUGGUUUUGCUAUCACUUAUAGAUGGACCCGCGCCGUAUUAGCUAGUUGGUAAGGUAACGGCUUACCAAGGCGACGAUACGUAGCCGACCUGAGAGGGUGAUCGGCCACACUGGAACUGAGACACGGUCCAGACUCCUACGGGAGGCAGCAGUU